This 1014-nucleotide long non-coding RNA is filed under the name Phasianus colchicus (ring-necked pheasant). RNAcentral's name for it is "lncRNA (ENSPCLG00000007450.1)". Lineage: Eukaryota; Metazoa; Chordata; Aves; Galliformes; Phasianidae. The record is from RNAcentral.
AUGGCAGCAGCACCGUUGGGAUGGGGUGAACCCGAUCACGGGGUGAACCCACACUACGCUGUACGAUCUCUGUGUCCCCUGCUCCUGUCCCAGCGCUGCACCCCAGCGGGACGCCCGCCCUGCAGCAGCAGCAGACCCGUCACAGUGCCACAACCCCGUCCCCGUUCUCCUCCCCCCCGUCCCCGCUCAGCCCUCCGCCCCCAUCCCCGUUGGGAUGCCGCCGCCGCCGAGCAGCGGUUGCCAUGGUUACGGCCAUGCAAGUCUGGGCGAAAUGCAUCUGCGGUGCAGCGCGCGGGUGGGGGCGGGGAGGACCCCGCAGCCCCCGGCACCGCCGCGGCCCCCACCCGACACCCGACCCCGACCCGCGGCCGCUGGCCCCAUCCCCGCAUCUUUGUUCGGAGCCGUGGCGGUGGGCGCGGGGGGCGCCGGCAGAUCGAGCGCCCCGAUGGGCUCCGAGCACCCCGUCUCCCCCCCCCGCCCCACACCGGGGUCUCCGGACUCGCGGGCCCACAGGCAGAGCCCGACCCGUGGCUCCGGGAACGCUAUCGGUUCUGCUCUGUGGCGGAGGGGAAUUCUGCUCCUGGCAAUGAAGCAAUCCAGGAGGGGACGGCGGGAGAUCGGGGAAGGAGGGGAUUUCUGAUGGAAAGUUGCGGACGAUCCCGGCUGCCCGUGUGUUUUCCCACCGCGCUCCUCCCGCAGCUGCCCAGAGGAUCGAGCUCCCGGCCCCCCCAGUGCUGCUGCGCCGGGAAUUGCACCCAGGGCUGCACCAAGAAAUGCACCGACAGCCACAUCACAGCGCUGCAGCUGCCCGUCCCUCGCUGCAAGCAGCCCCGCAGCCCCACAUCUCGCAGCCCCGCAGCCCCGCAGCCCCGCAGCCCCGCAGCCCUUCCCCCACGCCUCCCUGGCCUCUCUCUGCCCGGCCGUCAGAUGUUGCUGAAAGGGAACAAUGCGACGUAUUGUCUGUCCCUGCUCGCAGGCAUCAAAACCCAGCAGCGCAACAAAAAGACACAUUGA